RNAcentral lists this long non-coding RNA (643 nucleotides) under Olea europaea (common olive). RNAcentral's name for it is "long non-coding RNA (OEUR_LNC005988)". The record is from RNAcentral. Lineage: Eukaryota; Viridiplantae; Streptophyta; Magnoliopsida; Lamiales; Oleaceae.
AGAUAAAAACCCCAAGUGACAGAUAGCCAAGUGCUGAAAAUAAGUACAGAGCAUACUAAGCGUGUUCAACUACGGUAUCUUACAUCUUCAAACGUGACUGAUGAAAAAAAUUGGACCCAAAAAAAGAUUCUCUUAAUUUCAAAGUCAACAAAAUAAAAAUUGAUAAGUUCCGCUGAGAUAUAAUCCUUCAACACACUGACUGGUGAGUGCAUCUGCACACUCGUGCAUUUAAUUCUUUCCAAAAUUUACAGCAUAAAAGGGUCUCAAGGAAGUAUCAUCACUGUCAGUGUGCGUAACAAAGAGUACGUGGAAUAGAAAAUAUAAAUAAAAACUAAAGGAGAUGGAUAAGAGAAUAACCUUCUCUGGACACUUAAACGGAAUUUCCGGCAAUAUGGCUAGUCUGUGAGUGAGAUGCGGUGAUCCGGACGAGGGAGAGAGAAGAGACAGUAGGACGAAUAAGUGUUGUCGAAAGGAGAAUCAGGGCAGCUAUUUAGCUGUAUUGGGGAGAAGUGACGCAGGAAAGGCCGACGGAGGGAUAUUGACGGAGAAGGAAGGUUGAAAUUCAAUUGGGAACGAUGGUGGUCAUUGAAUAAUGAUUUUCUUUUUCUUCCGCCUCCUGACGUGUAAAUGGAGUAAAUUGUCC